GGCUCUGUAGUGAAGUUCAUGGCGGGUUGCAAGCCCGUUGAUGCACAUUAGUUGUGUGCCGGAGUCU
Molecule: transfer RNA, 67 nt
Filed under: Aleadryas rufinucha (rufous-naped whistler)
Lineage: Eukaryota; Metazoa; Chordata; Aves; Passeriformes
Description: tRNA-Cys
Source: RNAcentral